CCUACGGGUGGCAGCAGUGAGGAAUAUUGGUCAAUGGACGAGAGUCUGAACCAGCCAAGCAGCGUGAAGGAUGACUGUCUUAUGGGUUGUAAACUUCUUUUUUAAAGGAAUAUAUCGAGGUAUGUGUGCCUUUUUGCAUGUACUUUAUCAAUAAGGAACGGCGAAUUCCGUGCCAGCAGCCGCGGUAAUACGGAGGAUCCGAGCGUUAUCCGGAUUUAUUGGGGUUAAUGGGAGCGUAGAUGGGUUGUUAAGUCAGUUGUGAAAGUAUGCUGCGUAACCGUAAAAUUGCAAUUGAUACUGGCAGUCUUGAGUAUAGUUGAGGUAGGUGGAAUUCGUGGUGUAGCGGUAAAAUGCGUAGAGAUCACGAAGAACACUGAUUGCGAAGGUGACUUGCUAAACUGCCACUGACGUUGAUGCUCGAAAGUGUGGGUAUCAAACAGGAUUAGAUACCCGAGUAGUC
This 460-nucleotide ribosomal RNA is filed under the name uncultured bacterium. RNAcentral's name for it is "partial 16S ribosomal RNA". It matches the Rfam family "Bacterial small subunit ribosomal RNA", at positions 338 to 795 of the family's 1533-position model. The record is from RNAcentral.